UACAGAGGGGGCAAGCGUUGUUCGGAAUUACUGGGCGUAAAGGGCGCGUAGGCGGCCUGUUAAGUCGGACGUGAAAUCCCUCGGCUCAACCGGGGAACUGCGUCCGAUACUGGCGGGCUUGAAUUCGGGAGAGGGAUGUGGAAUUCCAGGUGUAGCGGUGAAAUGCGUAGAUAUCGGGAGGAACACCAGUGGCGAAGGCGGCUUCCUGGCCUGUUCUUGACGCUGAGGCGG
This 231-nucleotide ribosomal RNA is filed under the name uncultured bacterium. RNAcentral's name for it is "partial 16S ribosomal RNA". It matches the Rfam family "Bacterial small subunit ribosomal RNA", at positions 524 to 754 of the family's 1533-position model. The record is from RNAcentral.